GUUUUAAGUACGUAUUAAUAAUGAUAAUAUGUAUAAAAGUCUUGACCAAUUACGUGCCAGCAGUCGCGGUAAUACGUAGGAGACGAGCAUUAUUCAUAUUAAAUAGGUUUAAAGGGUACCCAAACGGUCAAAAUACCUGAAAUAUAGGAGUACUUGACUAGAGUUAUAUGUAAGAAGACCGUACUUGAGGUGGAGAGAUUAUAUUUUAUGAUACCAAAAGGACUGAUAACGGCGAAGGCUGUCUUUUAUGUAAUAACUGACGUUGAAGGACGAAGGCAUAGAUAACUAACAGGAUUCGUUACCCUAGUAGUCUUUGCAGACAAUGAUGAAUGCCAUUAACUAGAUACUAAUUUUAGUUAUAUAAAUGAAAAUGAAAGCAUUUCACCUCAAGAGUAAUGUGGCAACG
RNAcentral lists this ribosomal RNA (406 nucleotides) under Colletotrichum gloeosporioides. Its description in RNAcentral is "SSU rRNA". It matches the Rfam family "Bacterial small subunit ribosomal RNA", at positions 450 to 893 of the family's 1533-position model. Lineage: Eukaryota; Fungi; Ascomycota; Sordariomycetes; Glomerellales; Glomerellaceae. The record is from RNAcentral.